RNAcentral lists this ribosomal RNA (468 nucleotides) under uncultured bacterium. RNAcentral's name for it is "bacterial SSU rRNA". It matches the Rfam family "Bacterial small subunit ribosomal RNA", at positions 917 to 1382 of the family's 1533-position model. The record is from RNAcentral.
GGGCCCGCACAAGCGGUGGAGCAUGUGGUUUAAUUCGACGCAACGCGAAGAACCUUACCAAGGCUUGACAUCCUCAGAAUACUUAGGAAACUAGGUAGUGCCCUUCGGGGAACUGAGAGACAGGUGGUGCAUGGUUGUCGUCAGCUCGUGUCGUGAGAUGUUGGGUUAAGUCCCGCAACGAGCGCAACCCCUAUCUUUAGUUGCUAACGCGUAGUGGCGAGCACUCUAGAGAGACUGCCGGUGACAAACCGGAGGAAGGUGGGGAUGACGUCAAAUCAUCAUGCCCCUUAUGUCUUGGGCUACACACGUGCUACAAUGGCCGGUACAGACGGUUGCGAAGCCGCGAGGUGGAGCUAAUCUGAGAAAGCCGGUCUCAGUUCGGAUUGUAGGCUGCAACUCGCCUACAUGAAGUCGGAAUCGCUAGUAAUCGCAGGUCAGCAUACUGCGGUGAAUACGUUCCCGGGCCUU